GGCUCUUCCAGUUUAGGAAGGCUCCCGGGGCUGGCAUUGCUGCAUAGCUCAACCCCCAGGCAUCUGUUUACCACUGUCACAGCAGUUCACUCAAACUGUGCACUCUCUAAAUAAAGACCUUGCUUUGAUUAUAAUUUCCAUGAACAUGAAAACUCCCAAGUCUUAAUCCUGAAAGAAGGAGGCCAUUUCCAGCAGUCGGAAAAGGGGGAAGAUUAGCCCUGAGCUAACAUCUGACAAUUCUCCUCUUUUUGUUGAGGAAGGCUGGCCCUGAGCUAACAUCCAUGCCCACCUUCCUCUACUUUAUAUGUGGGACACCUACCACAGCAUGGCUUGACAAGUAGUGCCAUGUCCACACUCGGGAUCUGAACCAGCGAACCUCGGGCCACCAAAGUGGAACGUGUGCACUUGACCGCUGCACCACCAGGCCAGCCCCUCUAACAAUAAUUUUUAACGAGUUAAUGCAGCUGCAAAAUUCACACUCCAAUCAGUCCACCCCUACAGUGCCAUGGAGAGAAGGAUUGGAAUGAUUUUGAACCACCUAAAUUUGGAGAUGUGGAACAAAUAGUGUCUGUUUAUUUAGUGAUAAAUUGUAGGUGGGCUGUGUCCUGCCACCUUGACCCAAAGGUGAGCUAGCUCAGCAUUGCAUCAGCAGAGAUUUUGUUUUUAGGUGCUGUUUUUUCCAUUUUGAAAGCAAUAAAAUGGCAGCCUGUGAACAAGAGAGGGAGUAAAGAGGAAAAUAUGUGACCCGAUAAGGAGUUUAUACAACGAUUCUGCCUUUGACUAUAAUAAACUAUACUAUAAAAAGUGCUAUAAAUUUAAGAAAAAGAUAUUUUUUUCCUGUUGGGAAAAAAAAAGGAAAUAGAGAAAGAGAUCAAAACAGUGUUUGAAUUUUUGAAAUCCUUUAGACAGCUAUGCCAGAUAGUCAAUAACACUGACAGCAGAAGCCUUCCCAAACUAGAGUCAACUGUGAGAUUAAAUGGUCUUGCAAGGAUUAUCUUAUUGUAAAACCUCCUAGAAGAUAAAUGGAAUUUUCUAUAAGUAGUCAGUAUUAACCUGUUUGCUAAAUUGAAUAGAGAAUGCCAGGCAGUUAGAAAAAUCUAAGAAAAGAGCCUUGAAUUGUGAGCCAGGAGACCUUGGUUUUAAUAUCUCUCCUAAACCAAAUUCCUGGUUAUUCUGAUGGCUGGGACUUAAUUUAACCCACUGAGUCUAUAUCUUACUGGAUUACUCGCUCUCUAAGUCUUUUCCAACUUCAAUAUGUCCAUAUCUCAGUAGCCUAUCGCUGGUCUCCUCAGUCAGAUAUAGGCAUUUCUAGCUACUAAGGAGUGGAGGUAUUGGGUCAUCAUUUAUGUCAGUCUUAAGUAGCAGUAGUCACAGCAGCCACACCUGC
This 1387-nucleotide long non-coding RNA is filed under the name Equus caballus (horse). RNAcentral's name for it is "lncRNA (ENSECAG00000055856.1)". The record is from RNAcentral. Lineage: Eukaryota; Metazoa; Chordata; Mammalia; Perissodactyla; Equidae.